This 481-nucleotide ribosomal RNA is filed under the name uncultured bacterium. RNAcentral describes it as "partial 16S ribosomal RNA". It matches the Rfam family "Bacterial small subunit ribosomal RNA", at positions 28 to 523 of the family's 1533-position model. The record is from RNAcentral.
GACGAACGCUGGCGGCGUGCUUAACACAUGCAAGUCGAGCAGAAAUGCUCCUUCGGGGGUACUCGAGCGGCGAACGGGUGAGUAACACGUGAGUAAUCUGCCCUUGGCGUCGGGAUAGCCACCGGAAACGGUGAUUAAUACCGGAUACGACAACUUCUCGCAUGGGACGGAUGUGGCAAACUUUUUCGGCAAGGGAUUUGCGCGCGGCCUAUCAGCUUGAUGGUGAGGUAAUGGCUCAUCAUGGCUUCGACGGGUAGCCGGCCUGGGAGGGUGACCGGUCACACUGGGACUGAGACACGGCACAGCCUCCUACGGGAGGCAGCAGUGGGGAAUAUUGGACAAUGGGCGGAAGCCUGAUCCAGCAACGCCGCGUGAGGGAUGACGGCCUUCGGGUUGUAAACCUCUUUCGGUAGGGACGAAGCGCAAGUGACGGUACCUACUAAAGAAGCACCGGCCAACUACGUGCCAGCCGCCGCCAUAA